GUGACCACAAAGUUUAACGGCCGCGGUAUCCUGACCGUGCGAAGGUAGCGUAAUCAUUUGUCUUUUAAAUAGAGACCUGUAUGAAUGGCAUAACGAGGGUUUAACUGUCUCCUUCCCCUAGUCAAUGAAAUUGAUCUGCCCGUGCAGAAGCGGACAUAAAUACAUAAGACGAGAAGACCCUAUGGAGCUUUAGACAAAAGAUCAAACAUGUAAAGAAACCAAGUUAACCAAAAGGAACACAAAGGCCACGAAACCCGACGUAAACUGAUCCAAAUGUCUUCGGUUGGGGCGACCAUGGGGGAGAAAAAAGCCCCCACGAGGAACAGGGACUAAUCCCUAAGCCAAGAGAGACAUCUCUAAGCAACAGAAAAUCUGACCAAAAGUGACCCAGAAUACUAAUUCUGAUCAACGAACCAAGUUACCCUAGGGAUAACAGCGCAAUCCUUUCCCAGAGUCCAUAUCGACGAAAGGGUUUACGACCUCGAUGUUGGAUCAGGACAUCCUAAUGGUGCAGCCGCU
RNAcentral lists this ribosomal RNA (519 nucleotides) under Anguilla japonica (Japanese eel). RNAcentral describes it as "partial 16S rRNA". It matches the Rfam family "Bacterial large subunit ribosomal RNA", at positions 1908 to 2563 of the family's 2925-position model. The record is from RNAcentral. Lineage: Eukaryota; Metazoa; Chordata; Actinopteri; Anguilliformes; Anguillidae.